Long non-coding RNA from Xenia sp. Carnegie-2017, 1164 nucleotides. RefSeq lists it as uncharacterized. The transcript is spliced from 3 exons. Lineage: Eukaryota; Metazoa; Cnidaria; Anthozoa; Malacalcyonacea; Xeniidae. The record is from RefSeq and is a predicted model, not a curated record.
UCGAUACAAACAUUGGUAAAAAUAUCGCCUUAUAAACGAACAACAAAUAGUAUGAACGCAGCGACAAGCAAUAUAAACACGCUUACCCUCUCACAAAACAACAGGCGGAGUAGAUAUCGAUAUUAAUGAGAUUUCAAAGUCCUUGUUUACUUCGUACAUUUAAAGACGCGGCAUGUUGCGUGGUUCGCAUUAUUGCUGAAAUGAAAGAAAACAAUGAUAUUGAUUUUGAUGUACCAGAAAUAGAUGAUACAGAAUGUGUUGAUGUAUCUUCCAAAAAAUUUGUGGGUUCAUCAAAUAUUUAUUGCAAAUGAAAUGUGAGAAGUGUCAAAGCAUCCUAGAGUCAUAAUGAUUGUGCCCAACAGUGAUAUAGCAAUCUCAAUAGUUUGGGAAGCUGGUAUUGAUUUGAGUGCUUGUUUUGCCAUGCUAAGUUCUUAAAAUAAUUGUUUCUUCUGGAUUAAAACAUGCAAUUGGCAGCCAGUAAAUUGCAUUUUGUGACCAAUAGGAUUGACGAUAUGGCAAAUGGCAGCCAGUAAACUAAUUAAAUAUACAGCAGCCAAUUGCACAGCGAAGUGGCCCUACUGUUGUAUAUUCCUUUACUGUGGAUAUGCUGGCCAGAAGAAAACAAAAAAAAAAAACUUAUGUAAACAAUUUGAGUGCUUUACAAAAAAUAGCGUUUUGUAUAGACAACUGAAAAUUACGUGAAAGAGCUAGGAAAGUUGUUUGCAACAUGUUUAGCUUGGGCUGCAUUUGCCUAAGUAGAAAGCUAAUUUAAGAUUGAUAAAGAAUUGAGAUAGUUUCAGUGUCUAAGAAAGAGAAGCAGGAGCGAGUGUAUUUAGAUUUUUUGUUCAUUCAACAACUAACUUAAUGAACAUUGUAUCAUACUUAAUGAACGGAAGAUUGCUUAAACUCUCUAUCGGCCAAAUUAGAACUGGCAAUCCAAAUAGAUUCAAAUCAGACCAUGGUCGCUGAAAUAAGGAACUUCGAGGAUCUGAAUGAAAAGCAUCAAUCAUGUGAUUACCAUUUCCUUGAGCUAUAAACAUCAUUGUGAUCUUCUUUCGAAAUGGCCAUGUUUGUAGAGCAUCGUAAUCACCUAGAAAUAAUAUCAUACACAAUAUAAAUUUUUAUAAUAAUAUAAGUCUUAAUAAAUCCCAAGGCAUAUCUUUC